CUCUAAGUUUGUCGCUCAUGCGUGC
RNAcentral lists this non-coding RNA (25 nucleotides) under Cricetulus griseus (Chinese hamster). The record is from RNAcentral. Lineage: Eukaryota; Metazoa; Chordata; Mammalia; Rodentia; Cricetidae.